UCCCAGACUCCUACGGGAGGCAGCAGUGAGGAAUAUUGGUCAAUGGCCGUAAGGCUGAACCAGCCAAGUAGCGUGAGGGAAGACUGCCCUAUGGGUUGUAAACCUCUUUUAUGCGGGGAUAAAGGUGUCCACGUGUGGAUGUUUGCAGGUACCGCAUGGAUAAGGACCGGCUAAUUCCGUGCCAGCAGCCGCGGUAAUACGGAAGGUCCGGGCGUUAUCCGGAUUUAUUGGGUUUAAAGGGAGCGUAGGCGGGUUGUUAAGUCAGUUGUGAAAGUUUGCGGCUCAACCGUAAAAUUGCAGUUGAUACUGGCAUCCUUGAGUACAGUAGAGGUAGGCGGAAUUCGUGGUGUAGCGGUGAAAUGCUUAGAUAUCACGAAGAACUCCGAUUGCGAAGGCAGCCUGCUGGACUGUAACUGACGCUGAUGCUCGAAAGUGUGGGUAUCAAACAGGAUUAGAUACCCUAGUACCG
This 469-nucleotide ribosomal RNA is filed under the name uncultured bacterium. Its description in RNAcentral is "bacterial SSU rRNA". It matches the Rfam family "Bacterial small subunit ribosomal RNA", at positions 329 to 797 of the family's 1533-position model. The record is from RNAcentral.